GUCAGCUCCCGUGCCUUGUCCCCCUUGCAGUCCACCACUGCCUUCACCCGCUUCUGCCUCCCCUUGGCCGGAGCGAAGCGUCGGGGCAUGGGCACGGGGGGCACCUUGCUGGGUGUGGGGUCCUCGGGGCUCUGGGGAGGGGUGGCUUUGCCCACCACACCGCUGAUGCGCCGGUAGGAGCGGGUGCUCUCAGAGCCAAACUUGACGGGGGUGACAUCGGAGCUCACAGCACCCGGCGGGGGCUGCCCG
Molecule: long non-coding RNA, 249 nt
Filed under: Gallus gallus (chicken)
Lineage: Eukaryota; Metazoa; Chordata; Aves; Galliformes; Phasianidae
Source: RNAcentral